UGAUUGGUGCUUGCAUCAUGAUUUACAUUUGAGUGAGUGGCGAACUGGUGAGUAACACGUGGGAAACCUGCCCAGAAGCGGGGGAUAACACCUGGAAACAGAUGCUAAUACCGCAUAACAACUUGGACCGCAUGGUCCGAGCUUGAAAGAUGGCUUCGGCUAUCACUUUUGGAUGGUCCCGCGGCGUAUUAGCUAGAUGGUGGGGUAACGGCUCACCAUGGCAAUGAUACGUAGCCGACCUGAGAGGGUAAUCGGCCACAUUGGGACUGAGACACGGCCCAAACUCCUACGGGAGGCAGCAGUAGGGAAUCUUCCACAAUGGACGAAAGUCUGAUGGAGCAACGCCGCGUGAGUGAAGAAGGGUUUCGGCUCGUAAAACUCUGUUGUUAAAGAAGAACAUAUCUGAGAGUAACUGUUCAGGUAUUGACGGUAUUUAACCAGAAAGCCACGGCUAACUACGUGCCAGCAGCCGCGGUAAUACGUAGGUGGCAAGCGUUGUCCGGAUUUAUUGGGCGUAAAGCGAGCGCAGGCGGUUUUUUAAGUCUGAUGUGAAAGCCUUCGGCUCAACCGAAGAAGUGCAUCGGAAACUGGGAAACUUGAGUGCAGAAGAGGACAGUGGAACUCCAUGUGUAGCGGUGAAAUGCGUAGAUAUAUGGAAGAACACCAGUGGCGAAGGCGGCUGUCUGGUCUGUAACUGACGCUGAGGCUCGAAAGUAUGGGUAGCAAACAGGAUUAGAUACCCUGGUAGUCCAUACCGUAAACGAUGAAUGCUAAGUGUUGGAGGGUUUCCGCCCUUCAGUGCUGCAGCUAACGCAUUAAGCAUUCCGCCUGGGGAGUACGGCCGCAAGGCUGAAACUCAAAGGAAUUGACGGGGGCCCGCACAAGCGGUGGAGCAUGUGGUUUAAUUCGAAGCUACGCGAAGAACCUUACCAGGUCUUGACAUACUAUGCAAAUCUAAGAGAUUAGACGUUCCCUUCGGGGACAUGGAUACAGGUGGUGCAUGGUUGUCGUCAGCUCGUGUCGUGAGAUGUUGGGUUAAGUCCCGCAACGAGCGCAACCCUUAUUAUCAGUUGCCAGCAUUAAGUUGGGCACUCUGGUGAGACUGCCGGUGACAAACCGGAGGAAGGUGGGGAUGACGUCAAAUCAUCAUGCCCCUUAUGACCUGGGCUACACACGUGCUACAAUGGAUGGUACAACGAGUUGCGAACUCGCGAGAGUAAGCUAAUCUCUUAAAGCCAUUCUCAGUUCGGAUUGUAGGCUGCAACUCGCCUACAUGAAGUCGGAAUCGCUAGUAAUCGCGGAUCAGCAUGCCGCGGUGAAUACGUUCCCGGGCCUUGUACACACCGCCCGUCACACCAUGAGAGUUUGUAACACCCAAAGUCGGUGGGGUAACCUUUUAG
Molecule: ribosomal RNA, 1400 nt
Filed under: Lactiplantibacillus plantarum
Lineage: Bacteria; Bacillati; Bacillota; Bacilli; Lactobacillales; Lactobacillaceae
Description: bacterial SSU rRNA
Rfam family: Bacterial small subunit ribosomal RNA
Source: RNAcentral